Molecule: long non-coding RNA, 847 nt
Organism: Mus musculus (house mouse)
Lineage: Eukaryota; Metazoa; Chordata; Mammalia; Rodentia; Muridae
Product: predicted gene, 35532
Exons: 3
Source: RefSeq, a predicted model, not a curated record
UAUCUCCUUAUCUCGCCUAAAGUAAUGACCGGUUUUCAGCAGGCUGAAUGGGCAGCAGUCCUUAGCCAGUGGAUCGUUCUGCAGUGCAGCCUGGGAGGACUCGGCACAGAGCCACUAAAUUCAGUGCUUGCAAGUGUCCUAAGUGGGCAAGCGCAGUGCAGAGCACCAUGUGAGAUGGAGGAGCCAUACGGGAACACCUUAUGCAAGAGUCACCUGGGCACUGUUGAAGAGUCGAGGCGACUGCACUCUCAACGGCUUGACUCUGCUUUCUGCUGAAAUGGUGGACCAGUUUGAGGAAUGGGAACAGUGGCGUGACUCCGAAAGCCUGAGUCUGCUGUACACGUUGGCCACCAAGGGAAGGCUACAGGCUCCCAAGGCAGCGAUAUAUCAGGGGGAUACAGUACAGCUGGUGCCCAGAGGGAAUCAGCUAUGGGAGGCUUCAGUCAGGAGGAGCCAGGGCUGAUGAGGCACUCUUGUAGCUAUGGGGCAAGCACGAGGAGCCUGUGGUUGCUUGCUGUACAUCUUUCAGCUUUCCUAGGGAUGAAAAUGCUCAUUAUACAAUCCUGCAGCACUAAGGACGGGUCUCAUCCCAGAUGCUCACCCACACCUAGCUAGAUGUGCAGUCAGUGAGUUUUGGGUAUCCACCCACCUCUGCCUCCUGACCCCUGCCAAGAACUGAGUUUCCAAGUAUGCCCAUCAUACCUGGAUUUUCACACAGGUACUGGGGAUCAAACUCAGGUCCGUGUGCUUUACCAAGAAAGCCAUCACCCAUCACCCUGCCCUCUUUUUCACAUUUUGUCUUUAUGUUUCUACAUCAACAACAAUGCUGGUAGGAUUAUCAGACCCU